AUGAAAACGUUUUUGUGUCGCUACAAAACUCCUCAUUUCUGUAAAAAACAUUACAACUUUCACCUUCUGUUCAACACUCAAUCUGCUCUUAUGUGCCAUCUUGAAAACUGCUGUUUGGUGCCAAGUAAAUAUUCGAUACUAACUUCUCGUGACAUCUACCAGAUUUUCCAUAAACCAAAGUAUACGAAUACAAGUUUUCAACAUUCUGUCUAUAAUAUUACAUGUGUAAUGAACAAAACAAAUGGUAUGACAUUUCGUGCACCACCCUGUAGGAUUCUUCAAAUGUAGUUCAUUGCUACAAAACAAACAUUUUUGAAAUGAGAAUAUAUUAGCAUUAAUCGAAAAAAGAAGAAAG
RNAcentral lists this long non-coding RNA (355 nucleotides) under Androctonus crassicauda. Lineage: Eukaryota; Metazoa; Arthropoda; Arachnida; Scorpiones; Buthidae. The record is from RNAcentral.